This 771-nucleotide ribosomal RNA is filed under the name uncultured bacterium. RNAcentral describes it as "bacterial SSU rRNA". It matches the Rfam family "Bacterial small subunit ribosomal RNA", at positions 9 to 795 of the family's 1533-position model. The record is from RNAcentral.
GAGUUUGAUCCUGGCUCAGGGUGAACGCUGGCGGCGCGCUUAAUGCAUGCAAGUCGAGCGAGCCUUGCGGGCUUCGGCCUGUAAGGAAAGCGGCAGACGGCUGAGUAACGCGUGAGUAACCUACCCUUUGGUGGGGUAAAACCACGAGAAAUUGUGGUUAAUCCCGCAUAAGAUCCCUGUACCUUGGUUCGGGGAUGAAAGCUUUCGAGCGCCAGAGGAGGGGCUCGCGUCCUAUCAGGUAGUUGGUGAGGUAACGGCCCACCAAGCCUAUGACGGGUAGCUGGUCUGAGAGGACGAUCAGCCACACUGGGACUGAGACACGGCCCAGACUCCUACGGGAGGCAGCAGUGGGGAAUAUUGCGCAAUGGGCGAAAGCCUGACGCAGCAACGCCGCGUGGGGGAUGACGGCCUUCGGGUUGUAAACCCCUUUCAGCAGGGACGAAAAUGACGGUACCUGCAGAAGAAGCCCCGGCCAACUACGUGCCAGCAGCCGCGGUAACACGUAGGGGGCAAGCGUUGUCCGGAUUUAUUGGGCGUAAAGUGCGCGUAGGCGGUUGGAUAAGUCUCUUGUGAAAGCUCCCGGCUCAACUGGGAGAGGUCAAGGGAUACUAUUCGACUUGAGGAUAGCAGAGGUAAGCAGAAUUCCCGGUGUAGCGGUGGAAUGCGUAGAUAUCGGGAGGAAUACCAGUGGCGAAAGCGGCUUACUGGGCUAUUUCUGACGCUGAGGCGCGAGAGCGUGGGGAGCAAACUGGAUUAGAUACCCUGGUAGUC